RNAcentral lists this ribosomal RNA (806 nucleotides) under Polypedates leucomystax (Java whipping frog). RNAcentral describes it as "partial 16S ribosomal RNA". It matches the Rfam family "Bacterial large subunit ribosomal RNA", at positions 1432 to 2565 of the family's 2925-position model. The record is from RNAcentral. Lineage: Eukaryota; Metazoa; Chordata; Amphibia; Anura; Rhacophoridae.
AAAAUACCAUUAAUUUUCGUGAACCCUUAAGUUAUAAUGAAUGACUCCAUAUUUAUAUGGAAGACACCAUGCUAGGAUUAGUAACAAGAAUUUAUAAUUCUCCAAAAUGCAAAUAUAAACCAACAUGGAUGGACCAUUGGUAGUUACCGAACCUAAAUUCAAUGCAAUAACACCUACAAGAAAACUCUGCAGUACUUACUCGUUAACCUAACACCAGCGCAUUACAGGAAAGAUUUAAAAAAAGAGAAGGAAUUCGGCAAAUGACGGCCCCGCCUGUUUACCAAAAACAUCGCCUCUUGACUUAUAAUAAGAGGUCCAGCCUGCCCAGUGAAUUUUAAACGGCCGCGACAUCCUAACCGCGCGAAGGUAGCAUAAUCACUUGUUCUUUAAAUGGGGACUCGUAUCAACGGCAUCACGAGGGUUUUACUGUCUCCUCUUUUUGAUCAGUGAAAUUGAUCUUCCCGUGAAGAAGCGGGAAUAAAUUUAUAAGACGAGAAGACCCCAUGGAGCUUUAAACCAAAUAACAACUUAACCACUUACUCCAUAAUAAAUUUAAGCCCUGUUAUAAGGUUUUUGGUUGGGGUGACCGCGGAGUAAAGCACAUCCUCCACGACGGAAAGAACAAAAUCUUUAUUUAAGAACCACACUUCUAAAAAUUAGUAUACUAACGUUUACUGACCCGACAAUCGAUCAACGGACCAAGUUACCCUGGGGAUAACAGCGCAAUCUACUUCAAGAGCCCAUAUCGACAAGUAGGCUUUCGACCUCGAUGUUGGAUCAGGGUAUCCCGGUGGUGCAGCCGCUAC